ACUUUACUAUUAAUAAAAGUUUAAAGAAGCAAAGUGGUUUAUGUGCAAAAGUUUAUGUGCUAGAGACACCCUAAGAAAAGACACUGAACUGGCAAAAAGUGGAAACGCAGCGGUCAUCUGUUUUGAUCUAAUGAAGACUCUUCCUACACCUGUACUUACCACACUCAUUUUUUACUAUAAAACGCAGUUAUGGACUUACUGCUUUAAUAUACAUGAAAUGGGAAGCAAUAGUUCGUUCAUGUUUGUAUGGGAUGAAAGUAUUGCUUCAAAGGGGGCGCAAGAGGUGGAAUCUUGUAUUUUAUAUUACAUAAAAUCUUUGUUACAUCGAAGAGACUUAUAAUGUAUUCUGACCAAUGUGGUGGUCUGAAUCUUAAUAUAAAAAUGUCAUUGAUAUCUAACUAUAUUACUGCAUCUCCAUUAUUUACUAUGGAAGAAAUAGAUCAUAAAUUCAAGUGGUCAUUCCUAUUUACCAUGCGACCAAGAUUUCGGAAUCAUAGAAAAAAAAAGAAAUUCCAUCCACAUAUAUUUAUACCUCAAGACUGGCAUACAAUCAUAAGACAUGCUAAAAAAAAUCUUUUUCCCAUAAUAGAAAUGGAUACUCGAAUAAUGAAGAGGUUUGUUUUAACACAGUAGGUCUUAAUAAAAGGAAAUCUGUUUCCAAGGAAAUUAAGGAUCUGCCCCUUUUAUACCCAAAUGGUAAUGUCAUUAAUGAAGCUAAAAUAAAGAUCUCCUUGAGUUAAUGGAAUUCAUCUCUUCUAUAUACCAAGAUUUUUAUAAAAAUCUGAGGUCAUCCGCUCAAGCAACUGGAGGUAAAGUAGUUGGCCCAAUUGAGGAAGAAGAAACUCUAGAAACUGAAGAAGAAACCUACAAAUUAUGUAUUUAAUAACUACCUACCUAAUAAAAAAAAUAUUUUUUUUAUUUAUUCUCGUGACAAUACGAGUAAUACCGUUUUUGACGUAAUACUUAUAAUAGCUUAAGUUAUAGUAACACUUUAAAAAACCCAAUCUAUUUUAAAUGCAGAAUGGAAUAACCCACAUAAAAAAAACGAAUAUUAGCCAUAUCCAAAAAUUUAAAAUAAAUUCCGCAAAUAUAAGUAACACUCAAGAACAUUCAAUUAAUUGGAUCUACAGAAAUGUCCUUUUAAAAGGGUUUUGCGCACUUACAUUUUCAUUUUUUUUUAAACCUAUUUUUUAGCACUUAAUAAUAUUGGGGCUAGUCCGUUUUUGCACUCAUAGCCUCAUAUGAUGAGCUAGGCUUCGAUAAUUCUUCUGAUUGUACGGUCAAAUUUAGAAUUUGUGUAUUAGGUUCGAUAAAGCUAUUAUCCUGCAUUUCCGAAUAAUCACAAAUUUUGGCAUCAAGAGUACCGAUACCAGAUUUAUGCAUAACCUUUCCCUUUAAACUCAACUGUCUCAUUUGUUCAUUUCUUGAAGACAUCUGUAAUAUAUAAAGUAAAUUAAAAAUUAAGAAAACGGAUAUUUUGUUUGAUUUAUUGUGAAAAUAGUACUUUUUAUGUGAUAGCAAGAACUUGUAUCUCCACAAUAUCCCUAUUAUAUUCCCACCUUUUUCCUCAGAUCAUAAACAAACGUAGUCCCUGCUACUUGGCUAAAGGCCACAAGUUUUAAAGUCCUCGUUUUUUUGACGUAGGUGGCGUUAUUAGCGUCACCCGUACCAUCCCCACCAUACCUACCAAAAUCAUUCCUGUUUCUUGUGUUGACGCGUCAACAAGUUCUAAGUUUUCGUGCUUAAGUGAUUUAGAAAGUGAUAAUGAAGCGGAAAAAUUCGGAUUCUUCAAGUUUAUCAGAUUCUUCGGACGAGGAAGCCAUUGAGAGAGAGAUUUAUCUCUUAAAAGAUAGAUUAAAGAUGCUGAGGAAGGUUAAGAACAAGGGGACGCCAUCGUGUAGCGUCAAACAUGGCGGCCAAGUCGUGCCCGACACACCGGCGUGGUAUACGGCCCCUCCGCCACCACCGCCGCCGUUACUACCACAAGACCCGCAGCCAUCAACAUCUUUCGCCCCCGACCCUAUCGAUCAAGGAUGGUUCGAGGCCGACGACAAUGACGAUCUCUCGUUUCUUGAACAGACAACAACGAGUCAAGAUGGCGGCGGGCACGAAAGUGGUAGGUUAAAGAAUUGUUUUUGAGCACAGUAGCUCAAAAACGAAUUUUCUUGACACAGUAGUCUGAAAAUUCUUAUUGCCUGUCAGGCAAUAUUAUUCUAGCUAGAUCUAGAAUCCUUUUCAUUCACCGUAGUUUGAAGAGGCCGUUUUAAGCACCGUAGCUUUAAAACGUAAAAAAUAAUUUUGACAUUCGUCAAAAAUUGUUCCUGGUAUAGGAACAGGAGCACCGUAGCCCUAAAAAUAGUAUUUGCUGACAUUAUAGUCCGAAAAGUAUCCGUUGAAGCCAAGUUCCAGGUUAAAAAUCCGCCUUUCUAUAUUCUACGAAAUACUGUCAAACAACAUAAGUACGUAUGUCGUAGAUACAAUCCCAACUACGACUAUGUUAUUAUUCUGAAAAAAAAAGGGGGGGGUAGACAGCUGUCACCGCUGACGACUGACGGUAGAACUGUCAGUUGUCAAACUAGAUGUUUGAAAAACGAAAUGUUUGUUUAUUUUAAAAAAAUGCGGAUCUGGACUUGAGCUCAAAGCAAAUCAAAGAAUUUAGGUUAUUUCCUUUUUCUAGGUCAAACUGAACCAAUCCGCGGAAUUUACUUGGAUCCGUUGGUCUCAAAAAUUUUGGGACAGGAUUGCGAAUCUCCUCCUACAAAUACCGACGAAUUUUUCCCCACAAUUGGACACCACUGGGGCAAUAUUCUUUGUAAGGGACUGCCUGAUGAGCAAGUAACAACAUUGGCGGAAAAAUGCUCAAAAUGCUCAACCAAAAGACAGACAGCAGAGGAGCAAGCGCUGGUCAGAUCUAAAGAAAAAGCAGAGCCAGAAGGAGAACCGGGAAAAAACAAUGAUGCCACCCUGGACGUCUGGGGCAUUUUCUGUAGAGAGGAAAGCUUAAGGGGUUUUUGGAGCCCCAAGGAAAGACUUGAAAGCAUAAAUUUCUUGGAACUAAUGAGCGCCUUUAUCGGGUUACAAUAUUUUACCAAAAAUCUCUCUUUUUGUAAUAUUCUUUUACGAAUAGAUAACACCACUGCAAUUUCCUACAUAAAUAGAAUGGGAGGAAUUCAAUACAAAAAAUUAAAUAAACUUGCUAGAGAAAUUUGGCAGUGGUGUGAACAUCGCAACAUAAUUAUAUUUAAUAUUUGCCUCCUAUAUCAGUUCCCAAGAAAACAAAGAGGCAGAUUAUCAGUCAAGGGUAG
This 3305-nucleotide unclassified non-coding RNA is filed under the name Anthonomus grandis grandis. RNAcentral describes it as "uncharacterized LOC126749306". The record is from RNAcentral. Lineage: Eukaryota; Metazoa; Arthropoda; Insecta; Coleoptera; Curculionidae.